GACAGCAGCCGCCACGGGAAUACGUAGGGUGCAAGCGUUAAUCGGAAUUACUGGGCGUAAAGCGUGCGCAGGCGGUUAUAUAAGACAGAUGUGAAAUCCCCGGGCUCAACCUGGGAACUGCAUUUGUGACUGUAUAGCUAGAGUACGGCAGAGGGGGAUGGAAUUCCGCGUGUAGCAGUGAAAUGCGUAGAUAUGCGGAGGAACACCGAUGGCGAAGGCAAUCCCCUGGGCCUGUACUGACGCUCAUGCACGAAAGCGUGGGGAGCAAACAGGAUUAGAUACCCCCGUAGUCCCUGUCUCUUAUAC
RNAcentral lists this ribosomal RNA (306 nucleotides) under uncultured bacterium. RNAcentral describes it as "partial 16S ribosomal RNA". It matches the Rfam family "Bacterial small subunit ribosomal RNA", at positions 507 to 807 of the family's 1533-position model. The record is from RNAcentral.